RNAcentral lists this ribosomal RNA (256 nucleotides) under uncultured bacterium. Its description in RNAcentral is "partial 16S ribosomal RNA". It matches the Rfam family "Bacterial small subunit ribosomal RNA", at positions 524 to 776 of the family's 1533-position model. The record is from RNAcentral.
UACGGGGGGAGCAAGCGUUGUUCGGAUUUACUGGGCGUAAAGGGCGCGUAGGCGGUCGUGACAAGUCACUUGUGAAAUCUCCGGGCUUAACUCGGAACGGUCAAGUGAUACUGUCGGACUAGAGUACAGAAGGGGCAACUGGAAUUCUCGGGUGUAGCGGUGAGAUGCGUAGAUAUCGAGAGGAACACCUGCGGCGAAGGCGGGUUGCUGGGCUGAUACUGACGCUGAGGCGCGGAAAGCCAGGGGAGCGAACGGG